This 440-nucleotide ribosomal RNA is filed under the name uncultured bacterium. RNAcentral's name for it is "partial 16S ribosomal RNA". It matches the Rfam family "Bacterial small subunit ribosomal RNA", at positions 338 to 795 of the family's 1533-position model. The record is from RNAcentral.
CCUACGGGUGGCAGCAGUGGGGAAUAUUGGGCAAUGGGCGCAAGCCUGACCCAGCAACGCCGCGUGAAGGAAGAAGUAAUUCGUUAUGUAAAGCUCUAUCAGCAGGGAAGAAAGUGACGGUACCUGAAAAAGAAGCUCCGGCUAAAUACGUGCCAGCAGCCGCGGUAAUACGUAUGGAGCAAGCGUUAUCCGGAUUUACUGGGUGUAAAGGGAGAGUAGGUGGCAGAGCAAGUCCGAAGUGAAAACCCAAAGCUCAACUAUGGGAAUGCUUUAGAAACUGCUCAGCUAGAGUGCAGGAGAGGCAAGUGGAAUUCUUAGUGUAGCGGUGAAAUGCGUAGAUAUUAGGAGGAACACCAGUGGCGAAGGCGGCUUGCUGGACUGUAACUGACACUGAGGCUCGAAAGCGUGGGGAGCAAACAGGAUUAGAUACCCCUGUAGUC